UCUCCGUUGGUGAACCAGCGGAGGGAUCAUUACCGAGUUUACAACUCCCAAACCCAAUGUGAACCAUACCAAACUGUUGCCUCGGCGGGGUCACGCCCCGGGUGCGUCGCAGCCCCGGAACCAGGCGCCCGCCGGAGGGACCAACCAAACUCUUUCUGUAGUCCCCUCGCGGACGUUAAUUUUACAGCUCUGAGCAAAAAUUCAAAAUGAAUCAAAACUUUCAACAACGGAUCUCUUGGUUCUG
RNAcentral lists this unclassified non-coding RNA (244 nucleotides) under plant metagenome. RNAcentral's name for it is "partial contains small subunit ribosomal RNA, internal transcribed spacer 1, and 5.8S ribosomal RNA". The record is from RNAcentral.